Molecule: unclassified non-coding RNA, 166 nt
Organism: Chelonoidis abingdonii (Abingdon island giant tortoise)
Lineage: Eukaryota; Metazoa; Chordata; Testudines; Testudinidae
Source: Ensembl
UGGAAAGGGUUGAAUUAGCAGCUAUUUAUCCACAAAACAGGUGCAUUCUGGGCAGUGGUACAGGAAACUGUCCCACCAAUGUGCCUUCACCCUGACCUGGGGAGACCAUCCCUGUUUGAAGGAGGGUACUUUAUAUCCAUCAUCCCCUUCCACUGCUGCGGCCACU